UACGUAGGAUGCGAGCGUUAAUCGGAAUUACUGGGCGUAAAGCGUGCGCAGGCGGUUAUGUAAGACAGAGGUGAAAUCCCCGGGCUCAACCUGGGAACUGCCUUUGUGACUGCAUGACUAGAGUACGGCAGAGGGGGAUGGAAGUCCGCGUGUAGCAGUGAAAUGCGUAGAUAUGCGGAGGAACACCGAUAGCGAAGGCAAUCCCCUGGCCCUGUACUGACGCUCAUGCACGAAAGCGUGGGGAGCAAACAGG
RNAcentral lists this ribosomal RNA (253 nucleotides) under uncultured bacterium. RNAcentral's name for it is "partial 16S ribosomal RNA". It matches the Rfam family "Bacterial small subunit ribosomal RNA", at positions 524 to 776 of the family's 1533-position model. The record is from RNAcentral.